This is a long non-coding RNA of Astyanax mexicanus (Mexican tetra), 824 nucleotides long. RefSeq lists it as uncharacterized. Lineage: Eukaryota; Metazoa; Chordata; Actinopteri; Characiformes; Acestrorhamphidae. The record is from RefSeq and is a predicted model, not a curated record. The transcript is spliced from 2 exons.
GCUACAUGCUAUCUGCACUGGUCAUCAAGGGCUCUCGAUUUUCUAAAAUCCGCAUUCUGCAUCAAAUAAAAACUAAAAAAUGUGAUUUAAUAACCACAAAAAGUUGUAUUACUGCACACAGUGGGGAGCAUGGUCCCGUUUUCUUUUUAAGACAGACAGGAACAUGGGCAGGAUGUUUAUACUGCAAAAUGUAAACAUUUUCCCUGGCCUUCCUUAAAUAAAAAAAUCAAGCAAAAGCUCCACAAGAGCUGCUAAUACCCGUGCCGAUACAAUGGGUCCGUUUGGAUGCAGAGCUCUUCUGGAUCCUAUGCUGCUUUUCAGCGAGGAUUCGGCUUUUAGAAGCCGAGAACGAGUGAGAGAACGAGAGAGAGGAGUCCGGGAUCUGGAGCUUACAGCUCAGGUGAAGAUCGGAUGACGACCUCUCGAUAGAGCUCCGUGCUUCUCGACUGCGCGCUCGUCCAUCACUCAUCGAUUGAUGGUGAGGACUGGAUGAGACCACUCUACCCCAUAUUAAGCUGAUGUUGGGGUAAAAAUGAAGAAAGUACAGGUAUGUGAGGAACUGCACUAAGUAACAGCAUCAGGUCAUUCUUUGGAGCGCUGACCCUCGACCUUUACAUGUGUUUAUAUCUUGUGAUUGAUUGGACAAAUAGUGAUGAGUCAUACCCCCAAGUGUGUUUAUAUUUCAGAGUCACGCAAGGAAGGAAAAGAGCUAUGACCUGCUAAAAGCGAGCAAGCGAGUGGGAGAGAGAGAGAAGAGAGAGAGAGAGAGAGAGAGAGGAUAUUGAAUUGACUUAUUAUUGCUUGUACACAAUUUUACAUGAAAA